Molecule: ribosomal RNA, 438 nt
Filed under: uncultured bacterium
Lineage: Bacteria
Description: bacterial SSU rRNA
Rfam family: Bacterial small subunit ribosomal RNA
Source: RNAcentral
GCUUAACGCGAAGAACCUUACCAAGGCUUGACAUGCAUCUCUAAGCGCGUGAAAGCGCGUGACUCUUCGGAGGAUUUGCACAGGUGCUGCAUGGCCGUCGUCAGCUCGUGUCGUGAGAUGUUGGGUUAAGUCCCGCAACGAGCGCAACCCCUGUGAACAGUUGCCAGCGCGUAAAGGCGGGGACUCUGUUCAGACUGCCCAGAUCAACUGGGAGGAAGGUGGGGACGACGUCAGGUCAGUAUGGCCCUUACGCCUUGGGCUGCACACGUACUACAAUGUCCAGCACAAUGAGAACCGAGACCGCGAGGUGGAGGGAAUCUGUAAAACUGGGCUCAGUUCGGAUUGGAGGCUGCAACUCGCCUCCAUGAAGCCGGAAUCGCUAGUAAUGCUGCAUCAGCUACGGCAACGUGAAUACGUUCCCGGGUCUUGUACACACCG